GAUGAACGCUGGCGGCGUGCCUAAUACAUGCAAGUCGAGCGAACGGACGAGAAGCUUGCUUCUCUGAUGUUAGCGGCGGACGGGUGAGUAACACGUGGAUAACCUACCUAUAAGACUGGGAUAACUUCGGGAAACCGGAGCUAAUACCGGAUAAUAUUUUGAACCGCAUGGUUCAAAAGUGAAAGACGGUCUUGCUGUCACUUAUAGAUGGAUCCGCCCUGCAUUAGCUAGUUGGUAAGGUAACGGCUUACCAAGGCAACGAUGCAUACCCGACCUGAGAGGGUGAUCGGCCACACUGGAACUGAGACACGGUCCAGACUCCUACGGGAGGCAGCAGUAGGGAAUCUUCCGCAAUGGGCGAAAGCCUGACGGAGCAACGCCGCGUGAGUGAUGAAGGUCUUCGGAUCGUAAAACUCUGUUAUUAGGGAAGAACAUAUGUGUAAGUAACUGUGCACAUCUUGACGGUACCUAAUCAGAAAGCCACGGCUAACUACGUG
RNAcentral lists this ribosomal RNA (497 nucleotides) under uncultured bacterium. Its description in RNAcentral is "partial 16S ribosomal RNA". It matches the Rfam family "Bacterial small subunit ribosomal RNA", at positions 28 to 507 of the family's 1533-position model. The record is from RNAcentral.